GUGUCAGCAGCCGCGGUAAUACGUAGGUGGCAAGCGUUGUCCGGAUUUACUGGGCGUAAAGGGCGUGCAGGCGGCCCGUUAAGUGCAGGGUGAAAGCUCCCGGCUCAACUGGGAGAGGUCCUUGCAUACUGGCGGGCUUGAGGGAGCUAGAGGAGAGUGGAAUUCCCGGUGUAGUGGUGAUAUGCGUAGAUAUCGGGAGGAACACCAGUGGCGAAGGCGGCUCUCUGGGGCUUUCCUGACGCUGAGACGCGAAAGCGUGGGGAGCGAACCGGAUUAGAUACCCCUGUAGUCC
This 292-nucleotide ribosomal RNA is filed under the name uncultured bacterium. RNAcentral describes it as "partial 16S ribosomal RNA". It matches the Rfam family "Bacterial small subunit ribosomal RNA", at positions 505 to 796 of the family's 1533-position model. The record is from RNAcentral.